AAUGAACGUUGGCGGCGUGGAUUAGGCAUGCAAGUCGAGCGAGAAACACCAGCUUGCUGGUGUGGACAGCGGCGAAAGGGAGAGUAAUACGUAGAAAUCUACCCCGGAGUCUGGGAUAGCGUCGGGAAACUGGCGGUAAUACCGGAUAACGUCUUCGGACCAAAGUUUUUCGCUCUGGGAUGAGUCUACGACCUAUUAGCUAGUUGGCGGGGUAACGGCCCACCAAGGCGACGAUGGGUAGCGGGUGUGAGAGCAUGAUCCGCCUCACUGGGACUGAGACACUGCCCAGACAUCUACGGAUGGCUGCAGUCGAGAAUCUUGUCAAUGGACAAAGUCUGAACAAGCGACGCCGCGUGUGGGAUGAAGGCCUUCGGGUUGUAAACCACUGUCAGAGGGAAGGAAAUUUUGACUGAACCUCAGAGGAAGGACGGGCU
RNAcentral lists this ribosomal RNA (434 nucleotides) under uncultured bacterium. Its description in RNAcentral is "bacterial SSU rRNA". It matches the Rfam family "Bacterial small subunit ribosomal RNA", at positions 29 to 498 of the family's 1533-position model. The record is from RNAcentral.